RNAcentral lists this transfer RNA (66 nucleotides) under Mycobacterium sp. 852002-30065_SCH5024008. RNAcentral's name for it is "tRNA-Ser". Lineage: Bacteria; Bacillati; Actinomycetota; Actinomycetes; Mycobacteriales; Mycobacteriaceae. The record is from RNAcentral.
GCUGAUUAGUCGGCAAGGCAGCUUCCCAAGCUGAAUACGCGGGUUCGAUUCCCGUCAUCGGCUCCA